RNAcentral lists this non-coding RNA (964 nucleotides) under Stiphodon ornatus. RNAcentral's name for it is "12S ribosomal RNA". It matches the Rfam family "Bacterial small subunit ribosomal RNA". The record is from RNAcentral. Lineage: Eukaryota; Metazoa; Chordata; Actinopteri; Gobiiformes; Gobiidae.
CAAAAGCUUGGUCCUGACUUUACUAUCAGCUUUGGUUGGAUUUAUACAUGCAAGUAUCCGCAGCCCUGUGAGAAUGCCCUACAUAUUCCCUCCAUACGGGAAAAAAGGAGCAGGCAUUAGGCACGGCCCUACCGCCAGCCCAAAACGCCUUGCUUAGCCACACCCUCAAGGGACUUCAGCAGUAAUAGACAUUAAGCCAUAAGUGAAAACUUGACUUAGUUAAAACCAAGAGGGCCGGUUAAACUCGUGCCAGCCACCGCGGUUAUACGAGAGGCCCAAGUUGAUAAAUCGCCGGCGUAAAAAGUGGUUAGUAACUAUAUUUUACUAAAGCCAAACAUCUUCAAAACUGUCAUACGUUCUCGAAGACAGGAAGCUCUUCUACGAAAGUGGCUUUAAAUUAGACACACUCCACGAAAGCUAGGAAACAAAACGGGAAUAAAAAACCCAACAAGCCCAACCCUAAAAAAAAGGGAACAACUUAAAACCCAACCCCUGCCAAGGGAACAACAACCCCAACCUAAAAACCCAAAGGACUUGGCGGUGCUUUAGACCCCCCUAGAGGAGCCUGUUCUAGAACCGAUAACCCCCGUUCAACCUCACCCUCUCUUGUCUUUUCCCGCCUAUAUACCGCCGUCGUCAGCUUACCCUAUGAAGGAUGUACAGUAAGCAGAAUUGGUAGAACCCAAAACGCCAGGUCGAGGUGUAGCGUACGAGAGGGGAAGAAAUGGGCUACAUUCACUGUACCAGUGAACAACGGACGAUGCCUUGAAAUAAACAUCUAAAGGAGGAUUUAGCAGUAAGAAGAGAAACAUAGAGUCCCUCUGAAACUGGCCCUGAAGCGCGCACACACCGCCCGUCACUCUCCCCAAAACAAACAUAAAUUAUAAAUAAGAAAAAAAUAAAAAAAAUAAAGGGGAGGCAAGUCGUAACAUGGUAAGUGUACCGGAAGGUGCACUUGGAAAAA